This 407-nucleotide ribosomal RNA is filed under the name uncultured bacterium. RNAcentral's name for it is "bacterial SSU rRNA". It matches the Rfam family "Bacterial small subunit ribosomal RNA", at positions 355 to 776 of the family's 1533-position model. The record is from RNAcentral. RNAcentral also lists the same sequence under 1 other name.
UGGGGAAUAUUGGGCAAUGGGCGCAAGCCUGACCCAGCAACGCCGCGUGAAGGAAGAAGGUCUUCGGAUUGUAAACAUCUGUCCUGUGGGACGAAACAAAUGACGGUACCACAGGAGGAAGCCCCGGCUAACUACGUGCCAGCAGCCGCGGUAAUACGUAGGGGGCGAGCGUUGUCCGGAAUUACUGGGCGUAAAGGGUGCGUAGGCGGAAAAGCAAGUCAGAUGUGAAAUACCCGGGCUUAACCUGGGGGGUGCAUUUGAAACUGUUUUCCUUGAGUGCAGGAGAGGCAAGUGGAAUUCCUAGUGUAGCGGUGAAAUGCGUAGAUAUUAGGAGGAACACCAGUGGCGAAGGCGACUUGCUGGACUGUAACUGACGCUGAGGCACGAAAGCGUGGGGAGCAAACAGG